Molecule: ribosomal RNA, 241 nt
Filed under: uncultured bacterium
Lineage: Bacteria
Description: partial 16S ribosomal RNA
Rfam family: Bacterial small subunit ribosomal RNA
Source: RNAcentral
CGACCGGCGCACGGGUGCGUAACGCGUAUGCAACCUACCUUUAGCAGGGGGAUAACACUGAGAAAUUGGUACUAAUACCCCAUAAUAUCAUAGAAGGCAUCUUUUAUGGUUGAAAAUUCCGAUGGUUAGAGAUGGGCAUGCGUUGUAUUAGCUAGUUGGUGGGGUAACGGCUCACCAAGGCGACGAUACAUAGGGGGACUGAGAGGUUAACCCCCCACACUGGUACUGAGACACGGACCAA